This 649-nucleotide ribosomal RNA is filed under the name Enterobacter hormaechei. RNAcentral describes it as "bacterial SSU rRNA". It matches the Rfam family "Bacterial small subunit ribosomal RNA", at positions 49 to 687 of the family's 1533-position model. Lineage: Bacteria; Pseudomonadati; Pseudomonadota; Gammaproteobacteria; Enterobacterales; Enterobacteriaceae. The record is from RNAcentral.
UAACACAUGCAAGUCGAACGGUAACAGGAAGCAGCUUGCUGCUUCGCUGACGAGUGGCGGACGGGUGAGUAAUGUCUGGGAAACUGCUUGAUGGAGGGGGAUAACUACUGGAAACGGUAGCUAAUACCGCAUAACGUCGCAAGACCAAAGAGGGGGACCUUCGGGCCUCUUGCCAUCGGAUGUGCCCAGAUGGGAUUAGCUAGUAGGUGGGGUAACGGCUCACCUAGGCGACGAUCCCUAGCUGGUCUGAGAGGAUGACCAGCCACACUGGAACUGAGACACGGUCCAGACUCCUACGGGAGGCAGCAGUGGGGAAUAUUGCACAAUGGGCGCAAGCCUGAUGCAGCCAUGCCGCGUGUAUGAAGAAGGCCUUCGGGUUGUAAAGUACUUUCAGCGGGGAGGAAGGCGAUAAGGUUAAUAACCUUGUCGAUUGACGUUACCCGCAGAAGAAGCACCGGCUAACUCCGUGCCAGCAGCCGCGGUAAUACGGAGGGUGCAAGCGUUAAUCGGAAUUACUGGGCGUAAAGCGCACGCAGGCGGUCUGUCAAGUCGGAUGUGAAAUCCCCGGGCUCAACCUGGGAACUGCAUUCGAAACUGGCAGGCUAGAGUCUUGUAGAGGGGGGUAGAAUUCCAGGUGUAGCGGUGAAAU